GAUGAACGCUGGCGGCGUGCCUAAUACAUGCAAGUCGAGCGAACGGACGAGAAGCUUGCUUUUCUGAUGUUAGCGGCGGACGGGUGAGUAACACGUGGAUAGCCUACCUAUAAGACUGGGAUAACUUCGGGAAACCGGAGCUAAUACCGGAUAAUAUUUUGAACCGCAUGGUUCAAAAGUGAAAGACGGUCUUGCUGUCACUUAUAGAUGGAUCCGCGCUGCAUUAGCUAGUUGGUAAGGUAACGGCUUACCAUGGCAACGAUGCAUAGCCGACCUGAGAGGGUGAUCGGCGACACUGGGGCUGAGACACGGUCCAGACUCCUACGGGAGGCAGCAGUAGGGACUCUUGCGCGAUGGGCGGAAGCCUGACGGAGCAACGCCGCGUGGGUGAUGAAGGUCUUCGGAUCGUAAAACUCUGUUAUUAGGGAAGACCAUAUGUGUAAGUAACUGUGCACAUCUUGACGGUACCUAAUCAGAAAGCCACGGCUAACUACGUG
Molecule: ribosomal RNA, 497 nt
Filed under: uncultured bacterium
Lineage: Bacteria
Description: partial 16S ribosomal RNA
Rfam family: Bacterial small subunit ribosomal RNA
Source: RNAcentral